GCCGUGAGGUAGCAUUCACUAGAUUUCAAGGAAAUGAAAUCCACUUCACCAGUGUGGAAUGGGGAUUGUACAAAUCAAUUAAAAUAGGUAAGGAGAGCAGCAUAGUGAGGUCUGCUGCGUUCAGAUGUUAAGACUGCAUGUCCCUCAAGAUGUUAGUGUUUCGCCAGUGUUUACAUUAGUCUAAGCCGUGUCACACUGUGUUUAUACUUCAAAGAAAAGAGACUUCAACACUGAGCCAGGUUAUUCCUAUGAGUAAUUCCCAUCCGUCUUCCCUUUUUGGAGGAUUUAUGUCCUUGCCCAGGGAGGAAAUGUCUUCAGGAAUGUUUUAUGUGUUUUCUAGACAUCGCAGGGUGUGUCACUUACAAAUAAGUCAUUCCCAGGCAGAGUAAUUCAGGAAUUAUUUCCCUUCUAGGAAAUGCUUGUGACUGUGAAAAGGCUGUGAGGUUCUGUGCCAAGUGUGAAGAGCAUGUCCCUACAGAGGUUUAUCGUAACAAUAACAUAUCAACAUAACAAUAAGAAAUCCUAAAAGUAAUUAUAACUCAAAGACUGAAAAUCUUGCACAGGUACUUAAGGCUUUGCCUGACUCUGUUCAGGUAGGUUGGUGGUGUUUCACCACGGAUGCAGUUCUGCCUUUGAAGACUGACUGUGUUUGGUAGGUCAGCUAGAAAUGCAUUCUCAUUAUGUCUCCUUCUGUUAUUCACAGCCUCUGACUUUUCAAUAGUAAGGUUCUUUUUUCCCUCAGCAAAACUUCUUGUUUUUAACAGUUCUUUUUCUCCUCACACUACUUUUGUCCAAGAGGCAGAGAUUGAGAACAUAUGACCAAGAGUCUUCAGAGGGAACGUUUCUCGUAAGCAGGGUAAAUCGGAUGGAGCUGGAUGAAAACCUAUUUUUCCGCAUCUACAACUUCACAUGCGAAGUUUAAUUCAAGAGCAAACCUCUCCUUUGUUUGCCUCAUUUUAAACUUAAGUGAAUUCUGAUGUUUGUUUCCUAUUCAAUUUUUCUAAAUUCGCAUAUUGCAAAGGAAAAAUGUCCUUUAAUAAAAAAUUUAUAUUUGAAGCAGAAAAUUA
This is a long non-coding RNA of Pezoporus occidentalis (night parrot), 1067 nucleotides long. RefSeq lists it as uncharacterized. Lineage: Eukaryota; Metazoa; Chordata; Aves; Psittaciformes; Psittacidae. The record is from RefSeq and is a predicted model, not a curated record. The transcript has 2 exons.